This is a long non-coding RNA of Triplophysa dalaica, 247 nucleotides long. RefSeq lists it as uncharacterized. The transcript is spliced from 3 exons. NCBI's taxonomy places the organism in Eukaryota, Metazoa, Chordata, Actinopteri, Cypriniformes, Nemacheilidae. The record is from RefSeq and is a predicted model, not a curated record.
UUAAGAGAGCACACCACGUGCGUUUUCAAACAGCGGGACUAACGGACGGACGACUUCAGAGCUACUUCGACAUUCAGUGGCAAUUUUACAAAAUAUAUCCCUCAUGGAGUCUGACCGGGACUGGUAUCUCCCGACAUUCUCUGAAGCUUAGGUCCACUAAGAUGUCCGUUGAUUGAAGCUGACAUGGAGUCACAGUGACAUCCUUAAAAACUGUUGUCAUGUAUAAUACAUCUCUGCAUCUUAAAAU